Molecule: transfer RNA, 63 nt
Filed under: Omonadus floralis (narrownecked grain beetle)
Lineage: Eukaryota; Metazoa; Arthropoda; Insecta; Coleoptera; Anthicidae
Description: tRNA-Thr
Source: RNAcentral
GCUUUAAUAAUUUAAAUAAAAAUAUUGAUCUUGUAAAUCAAAAAUAAUGUAUAUUUUAAAGCU